Molecule: ribosomal RNA, 254 nt
Filed under: uncultured bacterium
Lineage: Bacteria
Description: partial 16S ribosomal RNA
Rfam family: Bacterial small subunit ribosomal RNA
Source: RNAcentral
UACGGAGGGGGCUAGCGUUGUUCGGAAUUACUGGGCGUAAAGCGCACGUAGGCGGCUUUGUAAGUUAGAGGUGAAAGCCCGGGGCUCAACUCCGGAAUUGCCUUUAAGACUGCAUCGCUAGAAUUGUGGAGAGGUAAGUGGAAUUCCGAGUGUAGAGGUGAAAUUCGUAGAUAUCAGGAGGAACACCAGUGGCGAAGGCGGCUUUCUGGACGGUAACUGACGCUGAGACGGCGAAAGCGUGGGGAGCAAACAGG